ACUUACUUUAGAGAAAUGUCCUUAAUUUUUGCAACUUGCCUGUGGGGAAAGAAAUGAUCUUUUAUUGUAUUUAGUCAUUAUUAAGCCUAUUUAUAGGCUGGUCAUUAAAGUACCCCUACCUGCUAUCCAGUCGAUGUUCUGAAAGCUAAUUAGCUAAGUAACUAGAGCAAAUCCACUAUUAGGUAUGCAGGGAAGGUAGCACUGACACAAACCAACAACAGGGGCCAACAAUUAAGCAGAUGGACAGUUCUCCAAAUGACUCUGGAAUUUAUGGUGUGAAAUGACCUUUGGAGGCAAGGGAGUUUUGCUGGUUAUUUGAAUGGCACCAGGAUUUUGGCUUAGCUUCUGAGGCCAACAGGAGCCAUGGACGUAUCUAGAGAUGGCUCUGGAAAAGCUGCAGGGUAGAAGAGCUCACCUGUGAUACAACACCCACGGAGAGAAAAGAGUUCAGAGGAGGCAAAGCCGGGAGACCAGGCUAAGGUUUCAUAGCUGAAACUUUGCAGCAUGUUUUAAAGGCAGCCAAGAGGGAAGUGUAAUGGCUCUCCUGGAAGUUGUUCAAAAGCCACUCCCAUCAACUGCAUCGGACACUUAUAUAAGGCACCAAAAGCAAUUUCCAGUCAAGUAUAAGGUUACUUUUGCCUUCCAGGCCAGACUCUUUUGCAGGUUUAUUAACAACAC
Molecule: long non-coding RNA, 678 nt
Filed under: Anas platyrhynchos (mallard)
Lineage: Eukaryota; Metazoa; Chordata; Aves; Anseriformes; Anatidae
Description: lncRNA (ENSAPLG00020014294.1)
Source: RNAcentral